GAGGCUAUACCUCAGGGUAGAGUACAUGCUUAGUGUGCAUGCAUGAAGUCCUGGGUUCAAUCCCCAGUAGCUCCA
Molecule: transfer RNA, 75 nt
Filed under: Camelus bactrianus (Bactrian camel)
Lineage: Eukaryota; Metazoa; Chordata; Mammalia; Artiodactyla; Camelidae
Also listed under: 2 other names
Rfam family: tRNA
About the family: Transfer RNA (tRNA) molecules are approximately 80 nucleotides in length. Their secondary structure includes four short double-helical elements and three loops (D, anti-codon, and T loops).
Source: Rfam by way of RNAcentral